RNAcentral lists this long non-coding RNA (1479 nucleotides) under Homo sapiens (human). Its description in RNAcentral is "HSALNT0006941". Lineage: Eukaryota; Metazoa; Chordata; Mammalia; Primates; Hominidae. The record is from RNAcentral.
CUCACAUGUAUUGCUAGUCUCAGCCUCCACUGGGAAUGGUGGAACUUGGUGAUGACAUCAGCCCCUUGGAAAUCCGAAGAGCUUUGUCAUGUAUUCUAAAAGUUACAAACUCCACUGACAAAACAUGUCCUGAACGUUUUGUGCCUUCGGUGCUGCCUCUCCUUUGUUCUGGGCCAGCACUGGGGCUUCCUUUCUUUUCAAAUGCAUAUCUGAAUUUCCUUUCAAAUGUAUUCUUUAUGAUACCAUAUUUAUUGUUACUCCCAGCUUUCAAAAUAUAUAUUCAGUGCACUUUUCAAAUGGUCAAAAGGUGUUUGCUUUUGGUUGAAGGCCUCAUUCCUCUGGGCAUCGCAAAACAAUUUCUGGAAAGCUGGUGAGGAGGGAUCUUGAGCUGGACUCGGGAAUAAGAGACCUUGUUAAAGUGCUGUGUUGAGACAAGAGUUUCAUAAGUACUCUUGUCCCUGCACCCAGGGGACAUCUCAUUUUUUCCUGCAACACGCUUGCAGGAGCCGUGCCUUUGCAGGCAGGAUCCCCAGCUGCUAGGUCACGCCCACAGCAGAAGGUCCCAGGGACUGGGAGUAAUCGUCAGUUUCCCAUCGUUGCCAUCUACGGAGGCUCUGCAUUGUCAUGAGCACCUCGCAGUUAUGACCUCUCACCCUGCAACAGCCCUGAGUCGUGGGGCUUUCUAUCCUUAUUUCACAGCAACAGGCCCAAAGGUAAGACAUAGUUGCCCAGUUACACCACUGGGAAGGGCGGACAGAGACACAGAGAGACCCUGGGGGAACCUUGGACUCCAGAAUCCUCUGUCAUUGAAUACAUCUGUGUGGGACAGAAUGGAGGAAACGUUGCUGCAUCUUCCCAUCUGCCGCGUGGCUUUCGGUUUUAGUAUUUUGUAUUUUGGUAUACACUCGGCAACGUUAGUCAACACCUUCAUGUGUACGGGCAAAGGAUUACCCGGGUGCCGAGGCAAGAGACUGAAGGCACAAACUGUUGCAGUAUAAUAAAGAAAAUAGUUAGAAUAAAGAAUAGUUAUAAUACAAAUUAGAUAUAGAGAUAAUCAUGGGCAAUUAUCAAUCAUUAGUAUAAACAUUAUUGAUCAUUAGCUUUUAAUAUUACUCUUUGUUGUGUUACUAAUAUAACCAAGGAAUAACCGGCGGGUAUAGGGUCAGGUGCUGAAGGGACAUUGUGAGAGUGACCUAGAAGGCAAGAGGUGAGCCCUCUGUCACGCUUGCAUAAGAGCCACUUGAGGGCUCCUUGGUCAAGCGGUAAUGCCAGUGCCUGGAAAGGCACCCAUUACUUAGCAGACCAUGAAAGGGAGUCUCCUUUCCUUGGACGAGUCAGGGAACACUCCGCUCCACCAGCUUCUUGUGGAAGGCUGGAUAUUAUCCAGGCCUGCCCGCAGUCAUCUGGAGGCCUAAACCCCUCCCUGUGGUGCUGUGCUUCAAUGGUCACGCUCCUUAUUCACCUUCAUGUUCCUCCCAU